GACAGUUUGGCCGAGUGGUCUAAGGCGCCAGAUUUAGGCUCUGGUCCGAAACGGCGUGGGUUUAAAUCCCACAGCUGUCA
Molecule: transfer RNA, 80 nt
Filed under: Musa acuminata subsp. malaccensis (wild Malaysian banana)
Lineage: Eukaryota; Viridiplantae; Streptophyta; Magnoliopsida; Zingiberales; Musaceae
Rfam family: tRNA
About the family: Transfer RNA (tRNA) molecules are approximately 80 nucleotides in length. Their secondary structure includes four short double-helical elements and three loops (D, anti-codon, and T loops).
Source: Rfam by way of RNAcentral